Molecule: ribosomal RNA, 580 nt
Filed under: Pseudoscourfieldia sp. MNURFJ09
Lineage: Eukaryota; Viridiplantae; Chlorophyta; Pseudoscourfieldiophyceae; Pseudoscourfieldiales; Pseudoscourfieldiaceae
Also listed under: 1 other name
Description: SSU rRNA
Rfam family: Eukaryotic small subunit ribosomal RNA
Source: RNAcentral
CGCGGUAAUUCCAGCUCCAAUAGCGUAUAUUUAAGUUGUUGCAGUUAAAAAGCUCGUAGUUGGAUUUCGGGCGUGGAGGUUCGGUCCGCCGUUUCGGUGUGCACUGUUGUUCUGCGUCUUUCUGCCGGGGACGCGCUUCUGGCCUUAAUUGGCUGGGACGUGGAUUCGGCGUGGUUACUUUGAAAAAAUUAGAGUGUUCAAAGCAAGCUAAAGCUCUGAAUACAUUAGCAUGGAAUAACGCGAGAGGACUCGGUCCUUAUUUUGUUGGUCUUCAAGGAUGGAGUAAUGAUUAAGAGGGACGGUUGGGGGCAUUCGUAUUUCAUUGUCAGAGGUGAAAUUCUUGGAUUUAUGAAAGACGAACUACUGCGAAAGCUUCUGCCAAAGACGUUUUCAUUGAUCAAGAACGAAAGUUGGGGGCUCGAAGAUGAUCAGAUACCAUCCUAGUCUCAACCAUAAACGAUGCCGACUAGGGAUUGGCAGGUGUUACAUCGAUGACUCUGCCAGCACCUUAUGAGAAAUCAAAGUUUUUGGGUUCCGGGGGGAGUAUGGUCGCAAGGCUGAAACUUAAGGGAAUUGACGG